This 463-nucleotide ribosomal RNA is filed under the name Streptococcus sp. oral taxon C08. RNAcentral's name for it is "bacterial SSU rRNA". It matches the Rfam family "Bacterial small subunit ribosomal RNA", at positions 28 to 474 of the family's 1533-position model. The record is from RNAcentral. Lineage: Bacteria; Bacillati; Bacillota; Bacilli; Lactobacillales; Streptococcaceae.
GACGAACGCGGCGGCGUGCCUAAUACAUGCAAGUAGAACGCUGAAGCUUGGUGCUUGCACCGAGCGGAUGAGUUGCGAACGGGUGAGUAACGCGUAGGUAACCUGCCUGGUAGCGGGGGAUAACUAUUGGAAACGAUAGCUAAUACCGCAUAAGAGUAGAUGUUGCAUGACAUUUGCUUAAAAGGUGCAAUUGCAUCACUACCAGAUGGACCUGCGUUGUAUUAGCUAGUUGGUGAGGUAACGGCUCACCAAGGCAACGAUACAUAGCCGACCUGAGAGGGUGAUCGGCCACACUGGGACUGAGACACGGCCCAGACUCCUACGGGAGGCAGCAGUAGGGAAUCUUCGGCAAUGGACGGAAGUCUGACCGAGCAACGCCGCGUGAGUGAAGAAGGUUUUCGGAUCGUAAAGCUCUGUUGUAAGAGAAGAACGAGUGUGAGAGUGGAAAGUUCACACUGUGACG